This 350-nucleotide transfer-messenger RNA is filed under the name Coprothermobacterales. RNAcentral describes it as "JAADFF01 sp013153035 Standard tmRNA". It matches the Rfam family "transfer-messenger RNA". From Rfam's summary of the family: Bacterial tmRNA, also known as 10Sa RNA or SsrA, is named for its dual tRNA and mRNA-like properties. Its role is to liberate the mRNA from a stalled ribosome. Lineage: Bacteria; Pseudomonadati; Coprothermobacterota; Coprothermobacteria. RNAcentral also lists the same sequence under 2 other names. The record is from RNAcentral.
GGGGGCGACUGGUUUCGACGGGGAGUCGGGCCGGUACGCUGCAGGCCGGGUUGGUCGCCAUCCCGUUAAAAAGGUGACACACAAAAUAAAUGCCGAUUACGAUUACGCACUCGCUGCCUAAUUAAAUAAGGCAGCCGCCCCCCGGUGCUAGCCACCGGCACCGGGUACGGCGUCAAAGAGGUGGCAAGGUCUUUAUGGUCGCCCCGCCAUAAAGACCUACUUAUUGGGGCUUGGUCCUACCAUGGGUGCCUGUGCCCUAAGGUAGGACGACAAUGAAACACAGGCUAAGCCUGUAGACGCGUACCGGGGAGGCUUCUCGGACGCGGGUUCGAGUCCCGCCGCCUCCACCA